Molecule: ribosomal RNA, 442 nt
Filed under: uncultured bacterium
Lineage: Bacteria
Description: partial 16S ribosomal RNA
Rfam family: Bacterial small subunit ribosomal RNA
Source: RNAcentral
CCUACGGGGGGCAGCAGUAGGGAAUCUUUCACAAUGGGCGAAAGCCUGAUGGAGCAACGCCGCGUGCAGGAUGAAGGCCUUCGGGUUGUAAACUGCUUUUAUAAGCGAGAAAUAUGAUGGUAACUUAUGAAUAAGGAUCGGCUAACUACGUGCCAGCAGCCGCAGUCAUACGUAGGAUCCGAGCAUUAUCCGGAGUGACUGGGUGUAAAGAGUUGCGUAGGUGGCAUAAUAAGUAGCUAGUGAAAUCUGGUGGCUCAACCAUUCAGACUAUUAGCUAAACUGUUAAGCUCGAGACCGUUAGGGGUAACUGGAAUUUCUAGUGUAGGAGUGAAAUCCGUAGAUAUUAGAAGGAACACCAAUAGCGUAGGCAGGUUGCUGGGACGGUUCUGACACUAAGGCACGAAAGCGUAGGGAGCAAACGGGAUUAGAUACCCGUGUAGUC